CUUUGACUUAUGUCAUAAAACAAACAUUAUAAACCCGUACAUCUUGAAUCUACCGUAUUUUAACAGUACCUGCCCUACAACAAAACCCACCUUUUGAAGAGUGAUACCCAUUUACCCGUAAAGUUAUGACACUUUAUUGCUUAUUCAAUUUUUAUUUUUAUUUUUUUUAUUGAGCACAUGCAUCACCAGUUGGGAAACCUUGGCCUAAAAUAAGCACAUACCCACCCUUAUAAUAACCACUGAGCACAUGCAUUAGCAGUUGGGAAACCUUGGCCUUAAAUAGGCAAAUACCCACCCUUGUAAUAAUAGACAACUCAAACCAUGUUUUAUUAGAUUAACCAAUGAUAUUGUGUUCAUGUGAGGAUGUGUUUUGGAGCUUAAUAUAGUAUUAGACACCAGAAACUCAUAACACCUAUGAAUCAUGGCACAGACCGACACGAUUUCUGUAGCCUCUGGCUGGUCUGUGUGCCUGGAAUUUUCACAAACAUUAGUCCUGGAAACUGGAUACUCUGUUCUUCGACAGUCUCAUAGAACAUACGCAUGGAGACAGGGAUGAAUGAACUUUUGUGUGUUUGUGGUCACAUUGUUUUGUUUCUUCUUUCUUUAUACCAUUAACCACCUUGACGUAACAGUGUCCUGCUCCUGAUGCAUUUGUUCCGACUCUCACCACUCUUAGCUGCAAUAUUUUUUCUCCUUACAGCAACAGUUGAGCAUAGUGUCCAGUGCUGCUUCUUCUUCAGCUUAAAAUAUCCUUGCUUGAAAGUUCUUGAAUGAAAACACAGGCAAUGACGAACACAAACAUAAAUAAUAACUGUGCCAAUCAUCACAAGUACCAUUUGAUUGUGGUGUCUUAACCAUAUUUUUUCCUAUGGCGUUUGGAUAAAUACCUACACACCUCUCUUCACAUCCAGCACACUCCUGAUUCACAGAUAAACACAAUAUCACUGCUGUAUCUACCAAUUUAACCCAAACACUCGUUAUUACUGCUGCAUUUACCAAUUUAAUCUAAACACU
This is a non-coding RNA of Pelobates cultripes (western spadefoot toad), 1014 nucleotides long. The record is from the annotation of a GenBank genome assembly. NCBI's taxonomy places the organism in Eukaryota, Metazoa, Chordata, Amphibia, Anura, Pelobatidae.